Molecule: ribosomal RNA, 392 nt
Filed under: uncultured Chrysophyceae
Lineage: Eukaryota; Chrysophyceae
Description: partial small subunit ribosomal RNA
Rfam family: Eukaryotic small subunit ribosomal RNA
Source: RNAcentral
GCUUGUCUCAAAGAUUAAGCCAUGCAUGUCUAAGUAUAAACAAAUUUAUAGUGAAACUGCGAAUGGCUCAUUAUAUCAGUUAUAGUUUAUUUGGCGAUAAAAACUACUUGGAUAACCGUAGUAAUUCUAGAGCUAAUACAUGCAUCAAUCCCCGACUUUUGGAAGGGGUGUAUUUAUUAGAUGGAAACCAAUGCGGGGCAACCCGGAAUAUGGUGAAUCAUAAUAACUUUCGGAUCGAUCGCAAGAUCGAUGCAUCAUUCAAGUUUCUGCCCUAUCAGCUUUGGAUGGUAGGGUAUUGGCCUACCAUGGCUUUAACGGGUAACGGAGAAUUAGGGUUCGAUUCCGGAGAGGGAGCCUGAGAAACGGCUACCACAUCCAAGGAAGGCAGCAGG